GACGAACGCUGGCGGCGUGCUUAACACAAGCAAGUCGAACGGAAAGGCCCUGCUUUUGUGGGGUGCUCGAGUGGCGAACGGGUGAGUAACACGUGAGUAACCUGCCCUUGACUUUGGGAUAACUUCAGGAGACUGGGGCUAAUACCGGAUAGGAGCUCCUGCUGCAUGGUGGGGGUUGGAAAGUUUCGGCGGUUGGGGAUGGACUCGCGGCUUAUCAGCUUGUUGGUGGGGUAGUGGCUUACCAAGGCUUUGACGGGUAGCCGGCCUGAGAGGGUGACCGGCCACAUUGGGACUGAGAUACGGCCCAGACUCCUACGGGAGGCAGCAGUGGGGAAUAUUGCACAAUGGGCGGAAGCCUGAUGCAGCAACGCCGCGUGCGGGAUGACGGCCUUCGGGUUGUAAACCGCUUUCGCCUGUGACGAAGCGUGAGUGACGGUAAUGGGUAAAGAAGCACCGGCUAACUACGUG
This 468-nucleotide ribosomal RNA is filed under the name uncultured bacterium. RNAcentral's name for it is "partial 16S ribosomal RNA". It matches the Rfam family "Bacterial small subunit ribosomal RNA", at positions 28 to 507 of the family's 1533-position model. The record is from RNAcentral.